RNAcentral lists this ribosomal RNA (494 nucleotides) under uncultured bacterium. RNAcentral describes it as "partial 16S ribosomal RNA". It matches the Rfam family "Bacterial small subunit ribosomal RNA", at positions 28 to 507 of the family's 1533-position model. The record is from RNAcentral.
GACGAACGCUGGCGGCGUGCUUAACACAUGCAAGUCGAACGGAAAGGCCUGCUUUCCCUUGUGGGUUGCGGGUACUCGCGUGGCGAACGGGUGAGUAUCACGUGAGUUAUCUGCCCCCAACUUGGGUAUAAGCCUGGGAAACUGGGUCUAAUUCCCGAUAGGACUGCAGGGUGGUUCCUGUGGUGGAAAACGAUGUUCUAGUGGUUGGGGAUGAGCUGGCGGUCUGUCAGCUUGUUGGUGGGGUAAUGGUCGACGAGGGGGGGGAUGGGGAGGCAGCCAGGGAGGGGGGACGGCCACAGUGGGACUGAGACACGGCCCAUACGCCUACGGGAGGCAGCAGUGGGGAGUAAUGAACGGGGAGCGGAAGCCAGUUGCAGCGAGGCCGCGUGGGGGAUGACGGGCUUGGGAUUAUAGCCUUCUUGCGACCAAGAGGAAGCCACCUGGAUGGAGGGGUAGUGACGGUAGUGGUAGAAGAAGCACCGGCUAACUACGUG